CUGGUGGCUUCCAAUAUUAAAAACCUCAAUAGACCCAGGCAAAGGGGAAUGAGUUGGUCGCCCAGUGAUUGCUCAGCAAACGUUAGUUACCAUCACCCUCUUGGGUGGUGUUGCCAUGGUGCAGGAGGAAAGGAAAGGGAAGUGAUGUGAUGGGUGGGAGUUUGCUAGCCUGACCUUCAAGGAGAGGCAUCCCUGUAGGAUUUUGAUCUUCUUUGCAAUUAUCUUAAAAGGAUGCCCACUCUUUGUGACCCAAUUUAAAAUGGAAUGCCUCCAAAAACAGAAUGCAUAAAGUCCAAGCCUCAGCAUGACAAAGGGAGAGGUUGGGAGGGAGACCCAGGCACCGCUCACAAGGAUCCCAAUUCACCAGGGACCUCCGAAGCUGGCAACGCCUGCCUGGGGUUCUGGAGCUCGGAUAUUUUGCUGUAACAACAGGCUGACUGUACAAGUACUGUACAGAGGCUGAGAUGGUUGGAUGGCAUCACCGACUCAAUGGACAUGAGUUUGAGCAAGUUCCGGGAGACAGUGAAAGACAGAAAACCCUGGUGUGCUCCAGUCCGUGGGGUUGCAAAGAGUCAGACACGACUGAGUGACUGAACAGCAACAGCUGUGCAGAUUACAGCCCUGCAGUAUCUUUAUUUCAAGCCCAGAACCUGCGCCAUCAACGUCAGGUAGGAGUGACAGUGCGGCUCGCCCUCCGUCCCCCACGGCUGACCGCCCUUCAGCUCUGCCAUCUCCCGCCUCCUCUCCCUCCUCCGGUCAGUGACUGCUCUUGCCUGUUCACUCCAUGCCAGCCCCUGGGUGCCAGCUGUUGUACUGGACUACCCUCCUUUUCAAGAAACCCAGCUUUGUGAAGACCCAUGGAUGCUUCUGAGUCCCAAAUGAAUGCUCACCUCAUCCUAACUGGAAUUAGCAACUCACAGCUGCCCUGGUCAUCAUGUGUUUGGGUGGUGUGGUGAGGAGGUCCGCCCAUUCUCGGCCCCAGGCUGCCCCAGAUUCUGUGUGGACUGCCGCCCGGCCCUCAUCACACAGGGUGCUCUCAGGUUGUGACCUCUCAGCAGGACUUUCUCGGGUGACAGGCAUCUCACUCAAUUGUACUAAGAAGUAUGACUCACCAUGGUUAGAACUAUUUUGUCUUUCAAUAAUCAUUUUUAGUGACUGCAUAGUAGUCCAACAAAUAAAAAUUUCAAAUAACGUGCCUUUAAGUUAUUCCUGUAUAUUUUUAGAUGAUCUUUUUAAAAUUAGUUUAAUUGGAGGAUAAUUUUACAACACUGUGAUGGUUUUUGCCAUGCGUCCACAUGUCAGCCACAAGUGCACCUGUGUCCCCCCAUGCUGAACCCCCCUGCCACCUCC
Long non-coding RNA from Bos indicus x Bos taurus (hybrid cattle), 1350 nucleotides. Lineage: Eukaryota; Metazoa; Chordata; Mammalia; Artiodactyla; Bovidae. The record is from Ensembl.